Cajanus cajan (pigeon pea) is the source of this 335-nucleotide non-coding RNA. Lineage: Eukaryota; Viridiplantae; Streptophyta; Magnoliopsida; Fabales; Fabaceae. The record is from RefSeq and is a predicted model, not a curated record.
AACUCUUUCCAUUCUUGCCUUGGAACCGUAGGUGCUGCUGCUGAGUAAGGACUCAGAUUUUCGUUCAAGCUCUUCUCCGUUCUUCCCCGUCUUAGCUUUCUCCUUCCUGGAACUCAGACCAUUGGACGGAGAACAGGAAUAGGUGGGCGUCCUGGGAUGAGUCUCCGGUGGACCUUGGAGCUGUUUUGCUUGUGUGGAUAUUUUGAUUGUAGCUACUUGGGAUAGUAGCAUUUGGUUGUAAUUUUCUUUGGUGCACUUUAACCCUAGUCAGACCAGAACUUAGUAUAUUAUAUAUUCUAGAUCCUAUAUUUAUAUACUUGUUCUAUCUGUCUGGA